GAUGAACGCUAGCUACAGGCUUAACACAUGCAAGUCGAGGGGAAACGACAUCGAAAGCUUGCUUUUGAUGGGCGUCGACCGGCGCACGGGGGAGUAACGCGUAUCCAACCUGCCCAUCAAUUGGGAAUAACCUUGCGAAAUUAAGACUAAUACCCAAUGAUAUCCCACGAAGGCAUCGGAAUGGGAUUAAAGAUUUAUCGGUGAUGGAUGGGGAUGCGUCUGAUUAGCUUGUUGGCGGGGUAACGGCCCACCAAGGCAACGAUCAGUAGGGGUUCUGAGAGGAAGGUCCCCAGAGUUGGAACUGAGACACGGUGCAAAAUACUACGGGAGGAAGCAGUGAGGAAUAUUGGUCAAUGGGCGAGAGCCUGAACCAGCAAAGUAGCGUGCAGGAAGACGGCCCUAUGGGUUGUAAACUGCUUUUAUAAGGGAAUAAAGUGGGUCACGUGUGACUUUUUGCAUGUACCUUAUGAAUAAGGACCGGCUAAUUCCGUG
Molecule: ribosomal RNA, 492 nt
Filed under: uncultured bacterium
Lineage: Bacteria
Description: partial 16S ribosomal RNA
Rfam family: Bacterial small subunit ribosomal RNA
Source: RNAcentral